Molecule: unclassified non-coding RNA, 331 nt
Filed under: soil metagenome
Description: partial contains 5.8S ribosomal RNA, internal transcribed spacer 2, and large subunit ribosomal RNA
Rfam family: 5.8S ribosomal RNA (bases 1-120)
Source: RNAcentral
GAUGAAGAACGUAGCGAAAUGCGAUAAGUAGUGUGAAUUGCAGAAUUCAGUGAAUCAUCGAAUCUUUGAACGCACAUUGCGCCCUUUGGUAUUCCUUAGGGCAUGCCUGUUCGAGCGUCAUUUAAACCUUCAAGCUAAGCUUGGUGUUGGGUGACUGUCCGCUUCACGGCGGACUCGCCUCAAAAUUAUUGGCGGCCGGUACAUUGGCUUCGAGCGCAGCAGAAACGCGAACUCGGGCCCGUCGUAUUGGCUCCCAGAAGCUAUCUUCACAAUUUUGACCUCGGAUCAGGUAGGGAUACCCGCUGAACUUAAGCAUAUCAAUAAGCGGAGG